RNAcentral lists this transfer RNA (114 nucleotides) under Colletotrichum caudatum. RNAcentral's name for it is "tRNA-Ser". It matches the Rfam family "tRNA". Rfam says of the family: Transfer RNA (tRNA) molecules are approximately 80 nucleotides in length. Their secondary structure includes four short double-helical elements and three loops (D, anti-codon, and T loops). The record is from RNAcentral. Lineage: Eukaryota; Fungi; Ascomycota; Sordariomycetes; Glomerellales; Glomerellaceae.
GGCAACAUGCCCGAGUGGUUAAGGGGACAGACUUGAACUAACCUGAUCAUUGAUCAGCUUACUCUGAGGUAUCUGUUGGCUUCGGCCGCGUAGGUUCGAACCCUGCUGUUGUCG